AAAGAACAGUAAUGUUCAAGUCGCCUUUGUCUCCCCAACACAAUUUUAACUCCCUCUCUAUAAUUCCUUCCAACCUUUCACCUACCAUUUGAAGAACUAAACCCACAUCUUCCAGAUGGGGUGGCUUCACUUCCUCGUCUCCCCCUUGAAGAAGUUUUGGGAUCGUCUGCAUUCUGGCCACAGAAAGCGUAAUUUCCUCGUUCUUUCUUCUUUCUUAUUGUAACCCAUCUCUAUAUAUGAAACAAAAAGCAUUAUUGAAAAACUUUUACAGGUAGAGGGAUAUACAUUCUGUACAAGGACGUGAAGUCUUGCCCAUGUGAAGAUGUGCAUGUCCUGUGGUCAAUCCUGGUUGAAUCUCACCAACCAACAUCUUUGCCAUCGAAAUGAUAUAUAAAAUACACAGGUCUUGCAGGAGUCUCUGCUUCCCAGGUGGUGGUUCUUCUGUUCUAUUUAGUUAUUAACUACAUUCUAAGCUGAGUCUGGCUACAUGGAAUCCAUGAACAGGAAUGUUGUGAAGCAUAGGUAAUUGGCCAAGCAUGGUUUGCCUUGGCAUUUGCCAAAGAUGGUAGCCGAUAACAAUGCUCUAUAUAUAUGUGUGCAUAGAUACAUAUGCAUAGCAACUGCAUUAUGUUAAUGUAUACUCAGAAGAAAGUUUACCUUAUUGUAUAAAUUGAAUAAUGUGACAUCCAUAUUCUAUUAUUUACACUGCAG
RNAcentral lists this unclassified non-coding RNA (711 nucleotides) under Hevea brasiliensis (rubber tree). Lineage: Eukaryota; Viridiplantae; Streptophyta; Magnoliopsida; Malpighiales; Euphorbiaceae. The record is from RNAcentral.